RNAcentral lists this ribosomal RNA (253 nucleotides) under uncultured bacterium. RNAcentral's name for it is "partial 16S ribosomal RNA". It matches the Rfam family "Bacterial small subunit ribosomal RNA", at positions 524 to 776 of the family's 1533-position model. The record is from RNAcentral.
UACGAAGGGGGCUAGCGUUGUUCGGAAUUACUGGGCGUAAAGCGCGCGCAGGCGGCUAUCCAAGUCUGUGGUGAAAGCCCGGAGCUCAACUCCGGGUCUGCCGCGGAUACUGCGAGGCUUGAGUGCUGUAGAGGGGGGUAGAAUGCCGGGUGUAGCGGUGGAAUGCGUAGAGAUCCGGCAGAAGACCGGUGGCGAAGGCGGCCCCCUGGGCAGUAACUGACACUGAGGCGCGACAGCGUGGGGAGCAAACAGG